RNAcentral lists this ribosomal RNA (338 nucleotides) under Salmonella enterica subsp. enterica serovar Eastbourne str. CFSAN001084. RNAcentral's name for it is "bacterial LSU rRNA". It matches the Rfam family "Bacterial large subunit ribosomal RNA", at positions 2595 to 2925 of the family's 2925-position model. The record is from RNAcentral. Lineage: Bacteria; Pseudomonadati; Pseudomonadota; Gammaproteobacteria; Enterobacterales; Enterobacteriaceae.
GGUACGCGAGCUGGGUUUAGAACGUCGUGAGACAGUUCGGUCCCUAUCUGCCGUGGGCGCUGGAGAACUGAGGGGGGCUGCUCCUAGUACGAGAGGACCGGAGUGGACGCAUCACUGGUGUUCGGGUUGUCAUGCCAAUGGCACUGCCCGGUAGCUAAAUGCGGAAGAGAUAAGUGCUGAAAGCAUCUAAGCACGAAACUUGCCCCGAGAUGAGUUCUCCCUGAGACUUUAGGUCUCCUGAAGGAACGUUGAAGACGACGACGUUGAUAGGUCGGGUGUGUAAGCGCAGCGAUGCGUUGAGCUAACCGGUACUAAUGAACCGUGAGGCUUAACCUUAC